This 497-nucleotide ribosomal RNA is filed under the name uncultured bacterium. RNAcentral describes it as "partial 16S ribosomal RNA". It matches the Rfam family "Bacterial small subunit ribosomal RNA", at positions 28 to 507 of the family's 1533-position model. The record is from RNAcentral.
GAUGAACGCUGGCGGCGUGCCUAAUACAUGCAAGUCGAGCGAACAGACGAGGAGCUUGCUCCUCUGACGUUAGCGGCGGACGGGUGAGUAACACGUGGAUAACCUACCUAUAAGACUGGGAUAACUUCGGGAAACCGGAGCUAAUACCGGAUAAUAUAUUGAACCGCAUGGUUCAAUAGUGAAAGACGGUUUUGCUGUCUCUUAUAGAUGGAUCCGCGCUGCAUUAGCUAGUUGGUAAGGUAACGGCUUACCAAGGCAACGAUGCGUAGCCGACCUGAGAGGGUGAUCGGCCACACUGGAACUGAGACACGGUCCAGACUCCUACGGGAGGCAGCAGUAGGGAAUCUUCCGCAAUGGGCGAAAGCCUGACGGAGCAACGCCGCGUGAGUGAUGAAGGUCUUCGGAUCGUAAAACUCUGUUAUUAGGGAAGAACAGAUGUGUAAGUAACUGUGCACGUCUUGACGGUACCUAAUCAGAAAGCCACGGCUAACUACGUG